AUCCCAGCUCCAAUAGCGUAUAUUAAAGUUGUUGCAGUUAAGAAGCUCGUAGUUGGAUUUCUGGCAGGAGUGACUGACCACAAACUCUGUUUGUGAGUUGUGUCACUCUGGCCAUCCUUGGGGAGAGUUUGUCUGGCAUUAAGUUGUCGGGCAGAGGAUCCUCAUCGUUUACUGUGAAAAAAUUAGAGUGUUCAAAGCAGGCUUAUGCCGUUGAAUAUAUUAGCAUGGAAUAAUAAGAUAGGACUUUGGUACUAUUUUGUUGGUUUGCGCACCAAAGUAAUGAUUAAUAGGGACAGUUGGGGGUAUUCGUAUUCCGUUGUCAGAGGUGAAAUUCUUGGAUUUACGGAAGACGAACUACUGCGAAAGCAUUUACCAAGGAUGUUUUCAUUA
Molecule: ribosomal RNA, 390 nt
Filed under: Bacillariophyta sp.
Lineage: Eukaryota; Bacillariophyta
Description: partial small subunit ribosomal RNA
Rfam family: Eukaryotic small subunit ribosomal RNA
Source: RNAcentral